AGAUGGAAAAUCAGGAGCCAGAUAGCACUUUCAAGGAAAACGUAAUUUUAGGCAUCAUAACUAGAAAAAUUAACCAGCUUCCAGAAGCAGAAAGGAAACUACUUGAACAUGGAUCAAUAUAUGUUGAACUUAAUGCUGUUCUCCGUGGCCUAAUAGCAAACAGUCUUUUUCUAUGCAUCUUGAACAUGACACAGGCUCAUAUAGCUGUCGGCUCACCAAUGGCAGAGAACCCAUUUCUGAUAGUACAUGUAUUUUACAGAAGUUUUGUAAAUUUACCUUUGAAUUGAGGUCAUUGGAAUUUGAAACCCAUACCAUAAAAUGAGGUGGAUUGGUUGGUCUUGUUUUUGGUGGUCUUUUCUUGACUAUACCUAUGAAUGGUGGCUUAGAAGCCAGAUAUGAAUCAACUCUGUUAUCAGAGAAAGGAAACAUCUUAAGUUACUGGAUUAGAAUUUCUAAGCCUGACUUUAGAAAGAUGACAUGUUGGUUCCCAUUUUGCUCCAGACUGUGUUUGCAGCAUUCCUUUGGUAUAGACAAUAUACAGUACUUAUAAAAGCCCUUCAGUUACCAGAACCUAGCCUAGAAAU
RNAcentral lists this long non-coding RNA (584 nucleotides) under Homo sapiens (human). Its description in RNAcentral is "non-protein coding lnc-LIFR-4:3". The record is from RNAcentral. Lineage: Eukaryota; Metazoa; Chordata; Mammalia; Primates; Hominidae.